ACCGGCAGCCAUAUCACCCUGUAGCCCAAGACUGGUUGCCCACUGAAGCUAAGCAGGGCUGAGCCUGGUCAGUACCUGGAUGGGAGACCUCCUGGGAAAACUGGGUUGCUUGCU
RNAcentral lists this ribosomal RNA (114 nucleotides) under Sinocyclocheilus rhinocerous. Lineage: Eukaryota; Metazoa; Chordata; Actinopteri; Cypriniformes; Cyprinidae. The record is from RNAcentral.